Molecule: ribosomal RNA, 253 nt
Filed under: uncultured bacterium
Lineage: Bacteria
Description: partial 16S ribosomal RNA
Rfam family: Bacterial small subunit ribosomal RNA
Source: RNAcentral
UACGUAGGGGGCGAGCGUUGUCCGGAUUUAUUGGGCGUAAAGAGCGUGUAGGCGGCCAGACAGGUCCGUUGUGAAAACUCGAGGCUCAACCUCGAGAUGUCGAUGGAAACCGUCUGGCUAGAGUCCGGAAGAGGAGUGUGGAAUUCCUGGUGUAGCGGUGAAAUGCGCAGAUAUCAGGAAGAACACCUGUGGCGAAGGCGGCUCUCUGGGACGGUACUGACGCUGAGACGCGAAAGCGUGGGGAGCGAACAGG